GAUAAACGCUGGCGGCGUGCUUAACACAUGCAAGUCGAACGAAGUGUUUCUUUCUUUAGGGACUUAGUGGCUGACGGGCGAGUAACGCGCGGGUAACUUGCCCUGUACAGGGUGACAGCAGCUGUAAACGGCUGCUAAUACCGCAUAGGCCGGUAGCACUGCAUGGUGCAUGGGGAAAGGAAGCAUUCCGGGACGGGAUGGACCCGCGUCAGCUUAGCCAGUUGGCAGGGUAACGGCCUUCCAAAGCGAGGGUCAGGAGCCGAUCUGGGAGGGGGCACGGGUACAGUGGGAAUGAGACACGGACCCGACUCGUACGGAGCGGAGCAGUAGGGAGUAUUGCACAAUGGAGCCAAAUGCGACGACGCGGCGCCGGGUGAGUGGAGCAGUAUUUCGGUAUGUAAAGCCCCAUCAGCAGGAGAGAAAAUGACGGUAAUUGACAAAGAAGCACCGGCUAACUACGUG
This 462-nucleotide ribosomal RNA is filed under the name uncultured bacterium. Its description in RNAcentral is "partial 16S ribosomal RNA". It matches the Rfam family "Bacterial small subunit ribosomal RNA", at positions 28 to 507 of the family's 1533-position model. The record is from RNAcentral.